RNAcentral lists this ribosomal RNA (420 nucleotides) under uncultured bacterium. Its description in RNAcentral is "partial 16S ribosomal RNA". It matches the Rfam family "Bacterial small subunit ribosomal RNA", at positions 361 to 773 of the family's 1533-position model. The record is from RNAcentral.
AUAUUGUACAAUUGUGGCAACCCUGAUCCAGCCAUGCCGCGUGUGUGAUGAAGGUCUUCGGACUUUAAAGCACUUUCAGUUGGGAGGAAGGGCUUUCUGUUAAUACCCUGAAGUUUUGACGUUACCAACAGAAUAAGCACCGGCUAACUCUGUGCCAGCAGCCGCGGUAAUACAGAGGGUGCAAGCGUUAAUCGGAAUUACUGGGCGUAAAGCGCGCGUAGGUGGUUCAGUAAGAUGGGUGUGAAAUCCCCGGGCUUAACCUGGGAACUGCUUUCAUAACUGCUGAGCUAGAGUACGGUAGAGGGUAGUGGAAUUUUCUGUGUAGCGGUGAAAUGCGUAGAUAUAGGAAGGAACACCAGUGGCGAAGGCGACUACCUGGACUGAUACUGACACUGAGGUGCGAAAGCGUGGGGAGCAAAC